GAUGAACGCUAGCGGGAGGCCUAACACAUGCAAGCCGAGCGGUAUUUGUCUUUCGGGACAGAGAGAGCGGCGUACGGGUGCGGAACACGUGUGCAACCUGCCUUUAUCUGGGGGAUAGCCUUUCGAAAGGAAGAUUAAUACCCCAUAAUAUAAUGAAUGGCAUCAUUUAUUAUUGAAAACUCCGGUGGAUAGAGAUGGGCACGCGCAAGAUUAGAUAGUUGGUGAGGUAUCGGCUCACCAAGUCGAUGAUCUUUAGGGGGCCUGAGAGGGUGAGCCCCCACACUGGUACUGAGACACGGACCAGACUCCUACGGGAGGCAGCAGUGCGGAAUAUUGGACAAUGGGUUAGCGCCUGAUCCAGCCAUCCCGCGUGAAGGACGACGGCCCUAUGGGUUGUAAACUUCUUUUGUACAGGGAUAAACCUACUCUCGUGAUAGUAGCUGAAGGUACUGUACGAAUAAGCACCGGCUAACUCCGUGCCAGCCGCCGCGGUAA
Molecule: ribosomal RNA, 495 nt
Filed under: uncultured bacterium
Lineage: Bacteria
Description: partial 16S ribosomal RNA
Rfam family: Bacterial small subunit ribosomal RNA
Source: RNAcentral